Molecule: unclassified non-coding RNA, 4724 nt
Filed under: Hevea brasiliensis (rubber tree)
Lineage: Eukaryota; Viridiplantae; Streptophyta; Magnoliopsida; Malpighiales; Euphorbiaceae
Source: RNAcentral
UCUUCUAAUUCUUAAAUUCCUAACGUGGUAUAAGAGCUCUUGAUUCAUUGGGGCUUAGGUAUGUUCAUGGGUAGUGUUCACGACACUAUUCAUAGGAACAUUUUUGAGGAGAUUUUGGUAUGUGCUGUCAUUUUUCUGGUGGAGAUUUUGGGUUAUUUUUGUAUUGAUUUCAGUUCUUAUGUAAAUGAACUUUUAGUUUCUGUUUUGUUACUAUGUCCCUUUUGAGCCAUUCCUAGCUACUGCCCCAUUUUGAAAUUUCCUUAAAGGUUUAUUCAAGUUUGGACAGCCAUUAUAUUGCAAUCAUGUGAGCUGUUUGAGUAAAGAUUCACCUGCUGUUUUGUCUUUUUCUGCGGCGGUGUCACCUUUGGAUAGAGAAGUGCAACCUUGUGAGUUACAUUGUGUAAAUAUUUCCUUGCCAGCGUUACCUAUGGAGCGGAAAUGCAAUCCUGGGAGUUGCUUUGUGUUUUGGUGCCUUUGUGUAGGUGUUUUUGUAUUUAGUUAUGUUGUGAGGGGGUUACAGGCUUCAAUAAGAAUCUCAUCAAGAGGGAAUGUUAGAAUUGAUGAGAUUCCAUGCUCCAUUUUAAGGGGGAGUAUUAUGCAAAGUCAAUAUUUAUGUUUAGUUAUAUUUCUAAUUAGUAUAUUCGACCCAGUCUUUCAGCUAGGUCAAGCAGACCGAAUUUAAUAACUAUGCCUCCAGCUUCUGUCUUUCUUCUGAACCAAAAACACCAGGCUUGAACAUGGACUAGAACUGUUCUGAAUAAUUCCAGCAGCAAUCAUUUCAACUGCCAGUUGUUCAAUCUCGUUCUUUUGCCAAUGACUCUAUCGAUGUGGCUUAAUCUUCACAGAUGAAGUACCAGGAAGCAAAGGACUAACAUGAUCAGUUGAAUGAGAUGGAGGCAAUGAAGAAGGCUGAUUAAAAAUAACUGAAUAUGAAUUGCAUAACUAAUGAAGAUCCUCUUAUUGUUUUGAAGAUAAUUCAGUAGGUGGAAUAAAUGACUGUGAGUUUCCCUAAGGAAGACAGACACGAGAGCACGAGUUAAAGAAGGAUCACCGCACGAUAUAACAAAGUUACGUGGAGGAUGUUGAAUAAUCCUUGUCAUGCUUGCCUAAUUGACCCUGACAUCGCCAAAGGUUUCUAGCCAAGCCUAUUACAUCCACUUCGCCCAGAGGAAAUACGUAGCAAUCAACUUUGAUUUGCAAUUUGUUAAGUCCAGAGAUAAUUUGUAACGCAUCCCUGAGGAUUGAGAUCGAUGUCCAUCUCCUAAUCUGACCCCAAAUGACGGUACUGCCUCCACUGGAAUCCGCAGCUUAUAAGCCACACUGUUAACAAGAAAAUUCUGGCUCGUCCCAUUGUCCACCAUCACUAUUACAAUAGCAUCUUUCAAUUGCCCUCUCAGCUUCAUGGUCCUACGUAUGGAAAUACCUCCCAUGGAAUAAAAUGGCAACUCCAACUGCAUAAAGUGAGUUUCAUUAGUAAUAGAUAAGGGAGAUUGAUUGGUGUCCUGCCCCAGAACUUCCAAAUUCCCAUCUGGUGGUCUUUCCUCAUCAUCUCCAACAAUUAUAGCUUUUAAGGUUUUAUUCGGGCAUUCAUGUAAGGGGUAGUAAGGUUGCUUACACUUGUAGCAUAAACUUUUGGCUUUGAGGUCCAAAAAUUCCUGGUGUUAGUAGUGCUGUGUUCCCUUGUUUCAAACUGUAGCUGGAUGUUGUUGCUGAGUAGGAAUAGCAGGUGUGGAUGAAGGCAAGUGUUGCUUCUAAUCGCCGAGGCCCAUUAGUGAAAAAUGGCGGCCUGUUAGUUUGACUAAAGCUUUUGCCCAACUUGGUCCAGACCGAGACCUAGGCCCAUAACUAAAGGCCCAUAUGCUAUCACUAAAUCAGUCAUCGUCUUCCUCAUGCCCUUCGACAUCUGCAAAAACUAGUUUUCCCUUUCAAACUCUCUUCCAAGUGUUAUGGUGCAGAAUAUUUCCACAGGAUCUUGUGCUCAAAUCAUUACCCGUAUUUCAUCUCUCAAUCCAUUCAAGAAAUAUCCCAAAUAUUUUGGGUAAGAAAUUCCCGAGACUUCCGAAGCCUGAGCCACAAAAUGAUCAAUAUAAUCCUCCAUUGGAUCUUCCUGUUACCCCAUUGCUAACCUUUCAAUUGGUUUGGCAAGCAAGUCUCCUCCAUAUUAGUGCAACAGUUCAACUGUAAGUUGCUCCCACGUUAGGUGAGGAUUUCGCUGGCGUAUCCAUCAGUUUCAAGGCAAUGCAAUCCCCUCCAUGCAAAUCAUGGCCAGUGUUACCUUCAUCUCCUCAUGCGUCUAACGAAUCACAAAAUAUUGUUCAGCUUGAGCAAGCCAGCCUACUAGGUCUUCACCUUCAAAAUUUCCAACUUUGCAGAGGGAGGAGUUUCAUCAAAUAAUAUUAGCUCGAGUACCUGGUCUGGUAUUUGUGGUUUUUGCUAUAGGCAUGGUUUGCGUAGUCUGAUUAGAUCCUUCACCAUCUUCAAUCACUGCUUUGCUUCGGGUGAGAGGUCAGUAGGUUUUCUAAUUUCGUGAAAUACUGUUCCUGUUCAAUACAUUGCCACCUCAGCUUCCUCUAGAGUUGCCAUGUUCCUCUUUACUUGCUCUACCCUUCCAUUCUCAUUUUGGUCAUGAGGUGUUGAUCUAGCAGGUCAGACCAAUUUGAUAGAGAUAGGAAUAAGAACAAAGCAAUAUGAACAAGAACAGAGAAGAUAGAAAUUCAAAUAGCAAUUGUAUUGCAAUCAACAGUCAAUUACAAAUGAGUCUCUGAGCACUUGCUACUCAGCAAUACAAAAUAAAUAAAUGAGAAAAGAAAAAUAAACCAGGAGAGCUCUCCUGAGCAAGCACUGCACUUGUCCUAAGCAAUUCUGCUGAAUGGAUAGCCCUUUCCCCGAAGUUACGCUCCUACUACAGCUGCCUCCUUUUUCAUUAACAUCUGUUGUUCCUCUCCUUUCUGUUAAUUGAGACCGGAUGGCAGUGUUCCUGAGAAUUGCUCUAACAGAAUUUGAUUCUCCAUCUGCAUAUUGCUAGAUUCUUCCAUGGCUCUUUUCUUCUUCCUGUAGUAUACCCUUAGCUGACUUGGGCCUUUAUCUACUUGAGCUGGGCCAGGAUUUGGAUCCAUAUCAUCUGGGGAUCUAAAUUUUUUUAAUCAUUUGCAAUUUCCUGACAAGAAUUAUCAGUAAUUGUUAAAUCUAAAACCCAUUGAACCAUUUCCUUGUUUAAAUUUUUAUCUUAUAUUUACAAAAAUGAUUUGAUUUUGCUGUCUUUGCUUUCAGCUAUGUUGAUUUUUUUUUCUCCCAGCAUAAGUAGGAUGUAUUUAAUUUUAUGUUUAUAGCUUAUUUAUUAAUAAAUGUUAGUUCUUCUAUGUGUUGACAUAAUUGGGUAUAGGACAGCCAUGCUGAGAAAUAAUACAAGUAAAAGCAGGUCAUUAGAAGUGGACUAUAUAUAUUCUUAAAAUUUUAUUUUAGUGUUGCAAGAAAAAUAUUCUUCAUGGCAAUGAGGCCACUGUUUUUGUUGCUACAUUCAUUUGUCUUCAGAAGUUAUUUAUUUAUUUUCUUUCUUAACAUUUUCAUAUGGUUUGUUUUCGGACCUUUAGAUAUUUGAAUGAUUUGUCUGUGCUAAGUCUUCCUGUAUUUGUAGAGGAUUGAAAGCUCAAUAGUUUUUUUUUUUGCAAAUUGGUUCUUGAAUGUUUGGUUGGUGAAUGACACAAAUUCGCUUGAUUCAUUCUAUUUGUGUCUGUCUAGUCUCAUAGUUUUUGCCUUACUAAAUGAUAGUAUAUGUGGCCUAUUAAGUGUACGAUUAACAUUCUUGUCCUAUUUACUGCUUCAUUUGGAAAUUGACAUUUGAAAAAAAGUCAUAGCAUUAGUAACUGGACUGACACUACCACUUUGAAGGCAAUCCUUGGGUGGGCACCUGAUACGUUUUCACUUUUCAUGUUACUAUGCCAAAUUAAUAAGCUUAAGUUGAUUAAUGAUUGAGGAUUUUUGCUGGUAUAUAAAUGGUUUAUUAUGUAUCCUAUUCCUUUAUUAAAUUGAUUUACUUCCUGCCUAGUGAUUGUCUUGCAUUUCAAUGCUUCAUCAUUGAACACAUAACUAGGUCACAUCUGCCGUGUUUUCAUAUGAUUGCAGAUGGAUAAAAGCUUAACCUGCUCUGCUACUUGCAUUGGUGGUUAAGUCGCAUAAUUGCCAUCUAGCAUGGGUUCAAUUAUUAGUAUGGGAGAACAGAAAGCAAGAGUGCUGGAGGAGUACUUUUGUUGGUUGUCUUUAGAGCUGUUCGAUUCUCAUUAUGUUUUUAUCUAUUUGCUGGAAAUAUAAUGACAUCUUAAUGGUGUGCAGUUCAGUUUCAAUAAAAAGAAUAAUAGUCAUAAUGGUCAUUUGUUUUGCAGGUGGUGAUCAAAUGAUACAAGCGUGGUUGAGAGUUCUUGAUGACAUAAACAUAAAUUAGUUGAUGUUUGCUGUAUUUUGCAGAGUGUUGGCUAAAUCCAUGCUAUGGAUAUAGCUGUGGAUGAUACAGGUGCUACGAUUGCAGAGGAUUGUGUUUGUUUUGCAAGGUUAGCUACUUGAUGUGACAAGUGAUGUAGAUUUCCCGUAAAUUAACACUUAUGAGUCAAUUUCAUGAAAUGUAAUUACUAGAAUAUUUCACGCUAAGUAGAGAUAACAAUGUCAUAUUUUCUUGGUUUGCUGAAAGUGUUAGGAUAAUGGUGUUGAAUGGGAAUCCCACUUGGGUAAGG